UUAAGACUGAACAUGAGGAUCUGACGCCCACCAGAAGCUCCAGUAAUCAGCAAACGUCCUCUGGUACUUUCAGCAUUAACACCCCUCUCAGUCCCACACAGGAAGAAGGAAACGUCUGCUCACAGUGUGGGAAGAGCUUCAGGUUCCAGUGUCAUCUCAAAAUACACCAGCGCAUUCACACUGGAGAGAAACCAUAUCAGUGUGCACAGUGUGGAAAGAGUUUUAAUACAAAGAGUGUCUUUUAUACAGAUAACGAGGUCAAACAGGUGCCAUUAAUACAGGUAAUGAGUGGAGGACAGAAGAGCUUCUUAAAGAAGAAGUUACAGGCCUGUGAGAGCCAGAAAUCUUGCUUGUUUGUGGGUGACCAAAUACUUAUUUUCCACCAUAAUUUACAAAUAAAUUCUUUAAAAAUCCGACAA
Molecule: long non-coding RNA, 419 nt
Organism: Trichomycterus rosablanca
Lineage: Eukaryota; Metazoa; Chordata; Actinopteri; Siluriformes; Trichomycteridae
Exons: 2
Source: RefSeq, a predicted model, not a curated record